GGGCGUAAAGCGCACGCAGGCGGUUUGUUAAGUCAGAUGUGAAAUCCCCGGGCUCAACCUGGGAACUGCAUCUGAUACUGGCAAGCUUGAGUCUCGUAGAGGGGGGUAGAAUUCCAGGUGUAGCGGUGAAAUGCGUAGAGAUCUGGAGGAAUACCGGUGGCGAAGGCGGCCCCCUGGACGAAGACUGACGCUCAGGUGCGAAAGCGUGGGGAGCAAACAGGAUUAGAUACCCUGGUAGUCCACGCCGUAAACGAUGUCGACUUGGAGGUUGUGCCCUUGAGGCGUGGCUUCCGGAGCUAACGCGUUAAGUCGACCGCCUGGGGAGUACGGCCGCAAGGUUAAAACUCAAAUGAAUUGACGGGGGCCCGCACAAGCGGUGGAGCAUGUGGUUUAAUUCGAUGCAACGCGAAGAACC
This 415-nucleotide ribosomal RNA is filed under the name Escherichia coli. Its description in RNAcentral is "bacterial SSU rRNA". It matches the Rfam family "Bacterial small subunit ribosomal RNA", at positions 556 to 970 of the family's 1533-position model. Lineage: Bacteria; Pseudomonadati; Pseudomonadota; Gammaproteobacteria; Enterobacterales; Enterobacteriaceae. The record is from RNAcentral.